RNAcentral lists this ribosomal RNA (253 nucleotides) under uncultured bacterium. RNAcentral describes it as "partial 16S ribosomal RNA". It matches the Rfam family "Bacterial small subunit ribosomal RNA", at positions 524 to 776 of the family's 1533-position model. The record is from RNAcentral.
UACGUAGGGUGCGAGCGUUGUCCGGAAUUACUGGGCGUAAAGAGCUCGUAGGUGGUUUGUCGCGUUGUCCGUGAAAACUCACAACUCAAUUGUGGGCGUGCGGGCGAUACGGGCAGACUGGAGUACUGCAGGGGAGACUGGAAUUCCUGGUGUAGCGGUGGAAUGCGCAGAUAUCGGGAGGAACACCAGUGGCGAAGGCGGCUACCUGGCCCACUCUUGACGCUGAGGCGCGAAAGCUAGGGGAGCAAACGGG